UACGGAGGAUGCGAGCGUUAUCCGGAUUUAUUGGGUUUAAAGGGUGCGCAGGCGGAUUUUUAAGUCAGCGGUCAAAUCGUGGGGCUCAACCCCAUCCAGCCGUUGAAACUGGGGAUCUAGAGUGUGCGAGAGGUAUGCGGAAUGCGUGGUGUAGCGGUGAAAUGCGUAGAUAUAUGGAAGAACACCAGUGGCGAAAGCGGCUCUCUGGUCUGUAACUGACGCUGAGGUUCGAAAGCGUGGGUAGCAAACAGG
This 252-nucleotide ribosomal RNA is filed under the name uncultured Bacteroidales bacterium. RNAcentral describes it as "partial 16S ribosomal RNA". It matches the Rfam family "Bacterial small subunit ribosomal RNA", at positions 524 to 776 of the family's 1533-position model. The record is from RNAcentral. Lineage: Bacteria; Pseudomonadati; Bacteroidota; Bacteroidia; Bacteroidales.